UGCAGUCGACGAGAAGUGGAGCAAUCCAUGAGUAAAGUGGCGCACGGGUGAGUAACACGUGACAACCUACCCCUUGAGUGGGGAAUAACCUCGGGAAACCGGGGCUAAUACCGCAUAACACCUUCGGGUCAAAGGAGCAAUUCGCUUAAGGAGGGGGUCGCGGCUGAUUAGCUAGUUGGUGGGGUAAUGGCCUACCAAGGCAAUGAUCAGUAUCCGGCCUGAGAGGGCGCACGGACACACUGGAACUGAAACACGGUCCAGACUCCUACGGGAGGCAGCAGUGGGGAAUUUUGCACAAUGGGGGAAACCCUGAUGCAGCAACGCCGCGUGGAGGAUGAAGUCCCUUGGGAUGUAAACUCCUUUCGACCGGGACGAUUAUAACGGUACCGGUGGAAGAAGCCCCGGCUAACUCUGUGCCAGCAGCCGCGGUAAUACAGAGGGGGCAAGCGUUGUUCGGAAUUAUUGGGCGUAAAGGGUGCGUAGGCGGUGCGGUAAGUCUUCUGUGAAAUCUCCGGGCUCAACUCGGAGCCUGCAGGAGAAACUGCCGUGCUUGAGUAUGGGAGAGGUGAGUGGAAUUCCUGGUGUAGCGGUGAAAUGCGUAGAUAUCAGGAGGAACACCUGUGGCGAAAGCGGCUCACUGGACCAUAACUGACGCUGAGGCACGAAAGCUAGGGGAGCAAACAGGAUUAGAUACCCUGGUAGUCCUAGCCCUAAACGAUGAUUGCUUGGUGUAGCAGGUACCCAAUCCUGCUGUGCCGCAGCUAACGCGUUAAGCAAUCCGCCUGGGGAGUACGGUCGCAAGGCUG
RNAcentral lists this ribosomal RNA (806 nucleotides) under uncultured Acidobacteriota bacterium. RNAcentral describes it as "bacterial SSU rRNA". It matches the Rfam family "Bacterial small subunit ribosomal RNA", at positions 56 to 896 of the family's 1533-position model. Lineage: Bacteria; Pseudomonadati; Acidobacteriota. The record is from RNAcentral.